AACGAACGCUGGCGGCAUGCCUAACACAUGCAAGUCGAACGAGACCUUCGGGUCUAGUGGCGCACGGGUGCGUAACGCGUGGGAACCUGCCCUUAGGUUCGGAAUAACUCCCCGAAAGGGGUGCUAAUACCGGAUAAUGUCUUCGGACCAAAGAUUUAUCGCCUUUGGAUGGGGCCGCGUUGGAUUAGCUAGUUGGUAGGGUAAAAGCCUACCAAGGAGACGAUCCAUAGCUGGUCUGAGAGGAUGAUCAGCCACACUGGGACUGAGACACGGCCCAGACUCCUACGGGAAGCAGCGGUGGGGAAUAUUGGACAAUGGGCGAAAGCCUGAUCCAGCAAUGCCGCGUGAGUGAUGAAGGCCUUAGGGUUGUAAAGCUCUUUUACCCGGGAUGAUAAUGACAGUACCGGGAGAAUAAGCUCCGGCUAACUCCGUG
This 433-nucleotide ribosomal RNA is filed under the name uncultured bacterium. RNAcentral describes it as "partial 16S ribosomal RNA". It matches the Rfam family "Bacterial small subunit ribosomal RNA", at positions 29 to 507 of the family's 1533-position model. The record is from RNAcentral.